CCUACGGGUGGCAGCAGUGGGGAAUAUUGCACAAUGGGGGAAACCCUGAUGCAGCGAAGCCGCGUGAGUGAAGACGUAUUUCGGGAUGUAAAGCUCUAUCAGCAGGGAAGAAAAUGACGGUACGUGAUUCAGAAGCCACGUCUAACUACGUGCCAGCAGCCGCGGUAAUACGUAGGGGGCAAGCGUUAUCAGGAUUUACUGGGGUGAAAGGGAGAGUAGACGGCAGCACAAGUCUGGCGGGAAAGGCCGGGGCUUAACCCCGGAACUGCUUUGGAAACUGUGCAGCUAGAGUGCAGGAGAGGUAAGUGGAAUUCCUAGUGUAGCGGUGAAAUGCGUAGAUAUUAGGAGGAACACCAGUGGCGAAGGCGGCUUACUGGACUGUAACUGACGUUGAGGCUCGAAAGCGUGGGGAGCAAACAGGAUUAGAUACCCCAGUAGUC
Molecule: ribosomal RNA, 440 nt
Filed under: uncultured bacterium
Lineage: Bacteria
Description: partial 16S ribosomal RNA
Rfam family: Bacterial small subunit ribosomal RNA
Source: RNAcentral